ACAAGCAUAAGAAAUGGCCUCUCUCCUUGAGUUGAAGAAAAGCUUAGCUGAUUUGAAAUCAUCUCUUACUCAGGAGGUGAUUUAGUAUAGGGAUGCAAAUGGAGUCUCUUGCAUCUUCCUUUUUGUUAGCUCUAUGUUUGAUGUGAAGUUUUAGCUAGAUAUGUUGUCUUUGGGCAAUGGCAGGGAUCUUGGGUGGACAAUUUGAGUGCUUGUACAUUGCUGGACAUGGUGCUGCUAGAGAACUACUUUUUGUUUACUGCUCAGAGACACAGAAAUUACUUAAUGAACUAACCAUGAACCUUGGUUGUUGGUGAAGCAAUCUAGAAGCAGUGAAAUAUCAAAAGCUUGAUGCAUGUGUUCGUCGGCUGAAGGGUGGCAGCAGCAGCAUUGGAGCUACUCGAAUUGUCUAUUCCUGCAUGGUUUUUUCUGACUACUGCAAGGCUGUCAAUAAUGAAGGUGCCUCAAAGAUGAGUAUCAAAUUUUGAAGACCAAGCUUGAGAACAUCCAAAAGUGAUCUAUAGCUUGAAGAUGACAUCAUCAGUACUGGAGGCUCAAUUGAGUUAUGGUGCCCUCGAUGCGGCUUCAAGAAAGUAACAAACUAAAUGUUGUGUUUUACUUGGUGGAAACACAUGUGUCAGCAUGGUUUAUUGUUUAAUUUUUAUCAGCAUGAUUAUUGAACAAAGUAGUUUGUUACCAAUCAUAAAUUGCUUGUUGUGUACUUGGUUCCUAGAUUAAAUUUAUUAACCAUGAAAUUGCUCAACAGAUUGAUGCUCAUCAAGCAUGCCAUACAUUUGCACAGAGGGGGGAAAGGGUUUUUUUUCCUACUUUUUUUUUUGUUUAUGGAAGUUGGGAAAAACUAGAUUAAGUACGUACUAGAGGCGUAAGGUGAUGUCCUCUGUCCUCUCCAUUCUUGUUUGCUCAGCACAGCUUCUGAUCACUACUGCAGAUUGCUUCUUGUCUUCCCAGUGAUUAUGCAAAACUAUGGUUGUGUGCUUUGGAAUCCAAACUUUCUAAUAUUUCCAGUUCACAUGUUCUUCAUUGGCGACAAUCUACCCAUCAUGUUGAUGUUGCCUGCUAAGACACUCAGGGGCUUCACUCUGAUGAUUGAAUUUACAUGAUUUCUGUCAACCUUGAAAAAGUCACUGGCUAUAUCUCCCAAAAACAUAUCUUAUAAAAUGAAAACCCAGAACGUACAACAAUAUGCAGUGGGUUCAUUUUCUGAAAGUGAAGCAUUCUAUUUGUCAUUACUCACCAUAAAAUUGUAUGUUUUUGUUGGAAAUAUAGUACCACAUCGGUUGUG
This is a long non-coding RNA of Dioscorea cayenensis subsp. rotundata (Guinea yam), 1300 nucleotides long. RefSeq lists it as uncharacterized. The transcript is spliced from 5 exons. The record is from RefSeq and is a predicted model, not a curated record. Lineage: Eukaryota; Viridiplantae; Streptophyta; Magnoliopsida; Dioscoreales; Dioscoreaceae.